Long non-coding RNA from Oryzias sinensis (Chinese medaka), 2179 nucleotides. The record is from Ensembl. NCBI's taxonomy places the organism in Eukaryota, Metazoa, Chordata, Actinopteri, Beloniformes, Adrianichthyidae.
AACCUGCUCAGAUGUGGCCCCUUGUGAGGUGGGUGUCAGUCCACAGUCAGCUAACUUCCCUUUAUAGCCCUGAAAGUUAGCCUGCUUUCCUGUGACUCCCACAUCUGAUCCCUCUUUGCUCCGUGGCCACACCUCCUCCUCUCAUGCUGCCCUCCCUUCUUUUUUUUUUCUCCUUCCCUGCCUGCUGGAAACAUGCUGCAAGCCCACAGAUAAGGCAGAGGUUCUCAGCCCAGCACACUCACACACACGCAAUCAGACAUGGGCCAGCUAUUGAGCUGGAUCCGAGGCCCACGGGACGCCCCGGCCCUGCAGGAUGCGUCUGUGGAGGAGCAGUCGCAGCCGAGUCAGGCAACACCCAAACCGGCACCUCAGGUCUCUGCUGGGAAGCCUGCGCAGUUCGAGAAGGCAUCAUCAGGAUCUGCCAUGGCUGCAAAGCCUGGGAUGGUUGCCACAGCAACAGGCGAUGCUACAGGAAGUGGGCCGGCAGCAGGGAAACAGACGGCUAAAGCUAAACCAGAGACUGCAACCCAAGUCAAGGGCAAGACUACAGUUCCUUCUCCUGCAGCUGGAUCAGCAGCUGUCUCUGGUACAGCAGCAGCAGCAUCCUCUACAAAACCUAAAGAGUCACUCAAAGACUCAGCCAAGGUAGACUUGACUUCUGCAAGCCUUUUCUGAGCAACGGCUCUCUUGGUAUUUCUUUGGUGUCUUCCAUUUCUGUUUCUCUUCUCUGACUUUUGUCGUUUGAAUUUUUCAAAGACGCAUUGAUACUUGCUUUGCGAGCUCAGUGGCCUUAUGGUAGAGUGUCCGCCCUGAGACUGGAACGUCAUGAGAUCAAAUCCACGGCUGAGUCAUACCAAAGACUCUAGAUAUUGGACCCAAAGCCUUCCUGAGCAUUAACUCCACAUUACAGGGUUGGAAUGGGGAUUUAAACCAACAAAUGGUUCACGAGUGGAGUUGUGUCUGCAGCUCAGUGCUCUUCCAGGGGACGGGUCAAAUGAGAACAAAUUUCACAUAUUUAAUGGGCCUUUGGACAAUCUUUCAGGAGCCUUUAUGAAGCAACUCUCUGCUUUGGCAUACGGUACAUAGUGCAUUUCUACUUUCAGGGGAUUUAAAGUAACUUUUUUUCCCCUGCGCAUCUCUCAUCUCAAACCUGAGUCUGGGACAGGCUUCCUGGCUGAUCGUUUGUUUCUCAAUUUAGUGAACGUUAGGCUGCUGAAGUGUUUUUCUCUGGUGAAAAUGAUUCUUUCUGUGCUGUAUUCUAUUAUGUUGUUGUGAUUGUACAUUAUUAUUUAGUAAAAUCUUUGCCCUGUGACUAUAACUCUGUUGUCAUAAAUGUUUUUUUUGGUUGCAAUAAAAAAACACUAUAUCUUACAGCAGGCAAGAGCAACCUGCAAGUAUUGAGAUGUUUGGCUAAGAAGCAGCUCAUUAACACUUCUUUUUUUCCACAAUUGUAAACUGGAUAAACCGGUGCUCAAACAUGUUUUUUUCAAGUUUCAAAUCCUGUCAGAAAAGAAGACUACACCAAAGAUGCACAAAAAGGUGUAAAAUACAAAAGGGGAAAGGUUCAAAGGCUAGCUUUCGGAUUCUGUAUGCAUCAGUUCACUAAUUGGCAAAGGUUUUUUCAGCACAAAUCCCUUGCAUGUUCUACAGAAAGACAAAGAUGAACCACUGUUGUUUUUACCAAUGCAAAAUGCAAUGCAAUGCAAUUAAAAAAUCAAACAUACAAAAAACCCAUAACAAAAAUGAUCAUGUAAGUGGAAAUACCUUACACUAACCUCCAAGCAUGGUGGUGGAGGUAUUGUUGUUGGACUGAUUUAAACCUAAAUUCAGCCGAAUCCUCCUCUUGUCUUGCUGGACAGGUCAAAGUCAGUUGCAGCUACUCUGUCUGUGGUUUGAAACAUGUCUGAAUAUUCUGGUACAUCCAUGGAAGCUGCUGGUUGAUGACAUGUCAUCUGUGAUUUCAUUGAAAUCUUCAGAAAAGAGUAAAUUUUUCUCAAGUGAUUCCUUCAGGGAUUAUAAGCAUUGCCAAAUGCUUUAAUGCAAAUACAUUUUUCCAUUAAAACACAAUUUUACUUUUUAGAAAAUAUUGCCUGUUAGCUAAACAAAUUGAAACCAAAAACGUUUUAUUUUUAGUUAAAUGUUAAUCAAAUUCCAAUCGUUCACACAUUAUUUGCAGCUA